GAUGAACGCUAGCGGCAGGCCUAACACAUGCAAGUCGAGGGAGGAGCUUUCGGGCUUCGACCGGCGUACGGGUGCGUAACGCGUAUACAAUCUGCCUUUCACAUAGGGAUAGCCCGAAGAAAUUUGGAUUAAUACCUAAUGGUAUAUAGAGGUGGCAUCACCUUUAUAUUAACGCUGAGGCGGUGAAAGAUGAGUAUGCGUUCUAUUAGCUAGUUGGAGAGGUAACGGCUCCCCAAGGCGACGAUAGAUAGGGGUUCUAGAGGGAUAUCCCCCACACUGGUACUGAGAUACGGACCAGACUCCUACGGGAGGCAGCAGUGAGGAAUAUUGGACAAUGGUCGGAAGACUGAUCCAGCCAUGCCGCGUGCAGGAAGACGGCCUUAUGGGUUGUAAACUGCUUUUGCAGGGGAAGAAUAAGGACUACGCGUAGUUUGAUGACGGUACUCGGCGAAUAAGCAUCGGCUAACUCCGUG
This 473-nucleotide ribosomal RNA is filed under the name uncultured bacterium. RNAcentral describes it as "partial 16S ribosomal RNA". It matches the Rfam family "Bacterial small subunit ribosomal RNA", at positions 28 to 507 of the family's 1533-position model. The record is from RNAcentral.